UUGUAUAGAUCAGCCGAUGAG
Molecule: unclassified non-coding RNA, 21 nt
Filed under: Mus musculus (house mouse)
Lineage: Eukaryota; Metazoa; Chordata; Mammalia; Rodentia; Muridae
Description: oocyte_clustered_small_RNA5665
Source: RNAcentral